This 355-nucleotide transfer-messenger RNA is filed under the name Sulfurivirga caldicuralii. RNAcentral describes it as "Standard tmRNA". It matches the Rfam family "transfer-messenger RNA". From Rfam's summary of the family: Bacterial tmRNA, also known as 10Sa RNA or SsrA, is named for its dual tRNA and mRNA-like properties. Its role is to liberate the mRNA from a stalled ribosome. Lineage: Bacteria; Pseudomonadati; Pseudomonadota; Gammaproteobacteria; Thiotrichales; Piscirickettsiaceae. The record is from Rfam by way of RNAcentral.
GGGGGUGCACUGGUUUCGACGGGGUGUGCGAAGUUUAAAGUGCAUGCCGAGCUUGGACACGCUCGCUAAUCAGGUCCAGUUUGUUAUAGUUGCAAACGACGAAAACUACGCUCUCGCUGCUUAAUCCAGCGAGUGCCCUCUGGGUGCGAUGCCCGUAUCGCCCCAGCUGGGUAUCGGCUUAAACGGGAUCGCGUUGUUCACUGGCCUGGGUGAAACAACGCUAAACCUCACAGGCUCGCCAGUCGUGAUCCCUGUCAGUCGGGUAGCGGCUGGUUAAACGAAUAGACUGAAUAAGCAUGUAGAUCUUUAAAUGGAGGCACCCCGGACGGCGGUUCGACUCCGCCCACCUCCACCA